UAUAAAGGAAGACCAAGUCCAACCACUACUAUUCAACUUUCCAACUCAUGAAAGGAAAUUGGUAGCAUAAGCAAUCUCUCUCUCUCUCUCACGCCUUCAGCAACAACAACACAAACCCCACACCUUCAUAUCUCUCCUCACGCAAAGAACACCAAGAUUCCACCAUUUUCUUAAUCCAAGCUUCCUUUUCAUAAACAUAAGUGUUGCAUGUAACCUCUAGCAAACACAUGAUCUUUGGAAACAUUAAUAGAAGUUGCAAAAGUUAAGCUUUUUCUCUAGUCAUGUUAUGGCAAGUUAAUCAUCAAACCCCCCUCUCUCAAAUUAACUCAUCUAGUCAAGUGAUGGAGAAGUAGAUAUGGAGAGGAGCUACCAAUUUUUCAGAAUUUAAGGGUAAGAUUACAAGACUUUCUUCUUACCCCAUUCAAUGUUCCAUUCCCUUUUAUUUUAGAAACUCACGAGCUCAUCUAUUCCAAAAUUGGUACUUGCAUGCAUGAUUUUCUUCUCAAAUACGAGUCAUGCAAUGACCGGAAGAGCAUGGCUUCGGCUGGAAGUAGAAGAUUGCAGCAAAAGCUGCGUUUUGGAAGCAGAACAGCUCGCCUAGCGAGUGUGGUUCUCGCCCUAGCGAGACCAGCAGAAGAACUCUGCUUAUGCAUACUGCUGUUCUCUCUCAUUAAACCACCCUUGAUCAAUGGUAAGCAAAGAUCCUGACCCUUUCCUCGUUCCAGAAUCGUUCCUUUUCUAUUUUAUCCUUAGAGCUUCAUGAAAUCAUUUACUUCCAUUUUAUAUGUUCAUAUGAGAUUCCCUGGAUGGAGAAACAAGCACAACUAGCAAAGGCAAAAGCUGCUCCAGAUAUAAAUCCGAACUAAUAGAAAUUACAGAGAGUUGUGAUGAAAGAAAAGCUGAAGGAUCCAAUUCCAGAAGUUGAGUGGUGGGUUACGAGAGAAUCAGUUCGAUGGACGCACGAAUCAAGAUCCAUGGGAUCACCUGACUCAAUUCUCAGAAACCUGCCAGAUACAAAAGGUACCUGAUCACAUCACUAAAGAUCAGAAAAAGCUUUGACUAUUUGCUUUUUCUUUGACAGGUAUGGCCAAGGAGUGGUUACAAUGCUUGCCAAGCGGAACGAUCUAGACAUAGAAGGAGCUGGAGAAUAAAUUUCUUAAGAUGAAAUCAGCCCAAACACCCCCUUUCCUACUAACACCGUUAUUUUUACGCUAACUUUUUUUAGUUGAACAUAAUAUGUUUUAUUGAUUUGUAAUUUUUAGGGUUAUCUAUUGUUGAAGGAGAAGGAAUUAUUCAACUCCCCUCCCAAUCUGUCAUGAGAAUUUGAAACAAGUUAAAAGCAUUCCAUAAUCCAAAAAAUACUAACGGCUUAAACCU
Molecule: long non-coding RNA, 1377 nt
Organism: Trifolium pratense (red clover)
Lineage: Eukaryota; Viridiplantae; Streptophyta; Magnoliopsida; Fabales; Fabaceae
Exons: 2
Source: RefSeq, a predicted model, not a curated record